Molecule: transfer RNA, 69 nt
Filed under: Rattus norvegicus (Norway rat)
Lineage: Eukaryota; Metazoa; Chordata; Mammalia; Rodentia; Muridae
Rfam family: tRNA
About the family: Transfer RNA (tRNA) molecules are approximately 80 nucleotides in length. Their secondary structure includes four short double-helical elements and three loops (D, anti-codon, and T loops).
Source: Rfam by way of RNAcentral
GGGGAUUUAGCUCAGUGGUAGAGCACUUGCCUAGCAUGCACAAGGCCCUGGGUUCGGUCCCCAGCUCCG